CGACCUGGCCCGGCGGGGGCCGCGCCGGACCCCCGCUGUGGCGCGCGGAGCAGCUCCACCCCCUCCUCGGUGAACUUGCGUGCCCCGGCCUUUUGUUCCAACACCUCCAGGUCGCGGACCACAUCGGGCUCUGGGAAGAAUCUAGUGGGUGGUGACCCGCAUUUUAUGAAAACGAAAUAGGGUAAGAGAAAAAAUCAGAGUACAUCUUCCAUAGCAAGAACAAAUACUGUUUUGUGAAGCAUUUAUUUCCCUUAGUCACAUUAAGUGUGGACUUGGUCAGGACGGAAAAUGUAUUUUUUACUGUGCUGAGAACUACUUACCUGCCAUGUGAGAGAGGUGCUGUGACUCCCCAUUUUGCAGAGGAGGAAGCAGAGGCCCAGCACAGGGGAGCCAAAUGGCAGGAAGCUCUCCCCGACUGGCAUCCACAGUGAUCUGUGUUUCUUGGAAACUCGGAGAGAAUUUGCCAUUUGAUAGAGACAGCAAUGUUUCCCUUCAUGUGCACUGAAUGACUUCACUGUGUUUACUGUCUUUGGUUUUGUUCCAGAGUGGUUUGGCUCUGUGAGCUUGUUACAAGUAGAGCCUGACAAGGCUCCUUGAGUGUGGUCCACGCUGCUCUCUGUGAUGACUGCCAUUCUAAUGGUCAAGGUCGCCAGUGACCUCCGGGAGGUUAAGCCCUGUAAGCCGUAAGCUGUGCUCGACAGAUAAAUAUGUUGAGACUCAGGAAAAUGAAGUGGCUUGUCAAGAAGACUCAGUUUUAA
Long non-coding RNA from Cynocephalus volans (Philippine flying lemur), 758 nucleotides. RefSeq lists it as uncharacterized. The transcript is spliced from 3 exons. The record is from RefSeq and is a predicted model, not a curated record. Lineage: Eukaryota; Metazoa; Chordata; Mammalia; Dermoptera; Cynocephalidae.